UAUUUUAAAUGCACUAUUCCCAACCUUGAAAGCUAAACCAUUUGCUUGCAGGCUGUCAGGCAACACCAGUGCUCAGCCACAGAGCACCACCAACGCACAGGCAGCUCAGGGGCCUGGCCCCUUCCCACAGGAAGGUACUACGACGCCCCGAGCCCCGCCGCAGGCCCUCCCCAAGCGGGCAGAGAGGUACUUCACGCAGCUUCCCUGCGGUACCAGGGCUCGCUCUGCCCCAUGAGGGGGGCGGGUAGGAGGCGAGCCAGGCCCUCCGCAGCCGGAGCCGGGUAACGGAAGCCGGGUCACAGCCCACUUUUUGCCACACGUAAGCGCGGUCACGCCUAAGAGACUUCUAAGCCAACAAGCAGAGCCCCCGGCAGCCCCUCAGCAGGCCGGGACACCCCGCCCCACCCGGCCCCCCGCCGGGACACCUGUCUCUGCGGCCUUCCUAAACGCCCAGGUGUUGAUGACUACAGGCAGGGCGGCAGCCGAGGCAGCGCCCGCCGGCUGCAACGCGACGAGCAGGAGAAAGAUAAAAUGGACCAUUAUGAAAGAAAAGCACUUUGAUGUGGAUGUCAUUCAAAUAAAAGUAUUGACUGUGAUGGUUGCAUCUGCAGGCUGAGCCUGCACCGCUGUAGAGAGAAUAUUUUGUACAACUUGAAACAGCAUAACAUAAUGCUUUGAGGCCCAUGUAGAAACUCAGUUGUUUUGAUUUUUGUGAUGUGCGUUCUAACUGGCAUUCAAAUGUGAAUGACUUCCAGCUAGAUAUAAAUGCAAUAAUGAAUCCAUGCUUUACUGUAUGCUAUGUUAUUAAAUAUCAUAUUUUAAUGGUAACUGUGAAAAAACUCACAAAGCAAAGACUACUCUCAGAUACAGUGUGUAAAAUCAACAGAAAGGUUGAUAGAACUGUUUUUACAUGCUGAAAGCUGAGCAGAAUUUGAGCAGUAUCUGUCCAAGACAACUUUGCAAGUCAGUUCUGCUACAUCCAUCUGGGCUCUUGAUUUGCCUUCUGUCUCUGUAUAUCAGUAUUUUAAAAUUGGUCUUUGAAUUAAAAACUUGUUUGUAUUUUCCUAAGAAUUAGCUGUUGGUUUAUAUCAGUUCUUUCUAAAUGGGCAGUGAUAAUGUACUUUAAUCUGUUCCUCCCCCAAUACUUACUGUUAUCUGUAGCUAAGAUAAAUCAUGAUACCAGUAGACGUUUUUCUCUGCAGCUAAAAAUCAAAUCAUUGUUUCCACAGCGUUUUUGUUCAAGUGCAUAAUAUUAAAAGAAUAUUCGAGAGAAAUAGUUCUGUGGACAAGGGAUUACUGAGAGGAUCUAUAACAGACAACACUGUGACUGAAUGGCACUGGAUAAUUAAUGAAAUACACAGGAGGAGAUUCACCUCUUUCACCAAGAGUGUCUGUUCCUACAGUGGCCAAAUUCUGACCUGAAUUAUAUCUGUGUGACCUUAUCUAGCACCAUCUGUACAAAAAUGCAUGCCUGGUUCCUUUUUGCUGUCUCAAAUUUUCCGUAAAUGUGCUUUGAAAUCUAAUUAAGGAUUGUGGCUAUAUCUGUAAUUUGUUUACAUUUUAAUCUUGAUUUUGCUUACACUUUCUAAUAUCAACAUACACUAACAAAAACCAAAUCUGAGAAUAAUUUUCUUAGUGAAAAGAAUCAACCAUUCGAUUAGCAUUUGGUAUGGAAACUUAAGUGUGGUUUCUUUGAGGUUUUUUGGAGGGUUUUUUUGACACGUAGUAUUUUGAAUCCAUCAUGUUUCUAAUUAAAAUAUAUUUUUAAAUGACCCUGUGUUGUGGGUUUCUGUUUUGUGGAAGCACUGUACUCUUUUUUUUUCUCUUUGGAUCCCUUUCAUGGCUUCUUACAAUACGUAUGUUCUCCCAUUCACUGAACUACACUGGACAUUCAUGGCGAAUGUCUCCAUCACCCACCUCUUAAAUCUUCUAGGAAAGGCCCUUAUGCCCUCUCUCAUUUUCAAAGCUACUUAGUUAUACUUACCUGAAUCCUCCAUAAAAAAUCAGCAUCAGUGUCAGGUCUGUCAAAAUGUGUAAUGUUUAAAUCACACAAUUAUCCAGACCUCUGCUUCCCAUAUUGUUUUUCUGGUUUCAUGUCUUCCCUAGCAGCAAUCUUUUCCCAUGUGUUAUGUGUUCUCUUUUAGUUGUACUGUAAAGUCUCUUGGGUAUGGGUUGUCAUUUCAUUUUAAGUAUGUAUAGCGUACAACACCAGUGCGUCCUAGCUUAGCACUCUUUCAUCCUUGACAAUAUGUUGAUGAGCAUUAAUAUCUAUAAUGAGGAAAAGUACAGAUGAUAAUUAUAAUAACCAUGCAGCCAUCAAUAGUAACUAAACAGUAAUAGUUGUGUUUCCAUUGAUAAAUUUGCUUUUGUUACCACUUUUUUUAUCAGAUUGCUAAGUUACUUUCUUACUUUGUAACCUCAAAAUAAUUAUUACAUGUCACAGAAUAAUAUGUUCUUGCACUAUUAUUUUGGCCUGUUGUAGCUUUCUGUCUCAAAACAAGUUAUGUGUAAUAUAUUUCCUAGUUGUAAUUGCUAUACUGGUCCACCACAGUAAUAAAGUUGUCAUAUGGAACAUGUAAUGGACCACUUUACAUUGUUGGAACUGCCUUUUUUAUUACAAGUCCUUGUAACUUUAUGAUGUCUUCAUAAAUGUGAUCCAUAGCAAUAAUAAAUUUGUUGGACAAA
Long non-coding RNA from Strigops habroptila (Kakapo), 2685 nucleotides. RefSeq lists it as uncharacterized. The transcript has 2 exons. The record is from RefSeq and is a predicted model, not a curated record. Lineage: Eukaryota; Metazoa; Chordata; Aves; Psittaciformes; Psittacidae.